GAGUUGGAGAAGGAAGAAGGAAGUCUGUGGGUUGGUCAAGUUGUGAGAGAGUGAGAGGAACUGUUAGGUGGAGUCAGAUAGAUAGUUGGGGUAAUCAGUUUGAAGUUGUUAGGAACGAAUAGGUCAGUAAAGAAACUAAGAUUAAGAAACUGACAAGAAGGAUGAACUGAAACCUUAAACUUGUUCAUGCUUAUAAAAAUAAACUUGAUUAUUUGUUAAUGUUAACAACUGUCUGGACCCGAGGGAAACGGGUUGGUGGCAGCGGGAAAGCAAUCACAGUGGUGGCACAGAGAUCAAUAGACUGUCAGACGUCUGGGGACCCUGUGUGAUCGCCACAGCGGGUGCCACCACCAAGAAGGCCCUCUGCCUGGUAGGACAGUGACUGUAGCAUCACUAGCGGCAAAAGACAAGGAGAGGAGGAGAGUUGACAGCUGCUUCGCCACUCUUUCCUCGCCUGGACUGCGGCACACGCGUGUACCCCCCGCACCGCUUUGUUAGGCAAGCCAUAGCAGGCUGCCUCUGUGCCCUGCCCGCUCUGCCAGUGGAUAUAUCAGCAAAAUCUCAUGAGUUCUCGCCAGAAAAUGCCAGCAUGCCGCUUCUCCCUGGGCCUGGCUACCCUCCUUGCGGUUGUGCACAUGAAAGUAGGCAGCCGGGGGCUGGCUCAGGGCAGGCUGAAGUUUCUAGGUGUGGCAUUUGCCCUCUUAGGUGUGUGACAUCAUACUGGGUUCAUAAGGAAAGGGUUAACUCAUUGUAAAAUGACUCACCAAUGGGAACCCAGGGGGCAGAGUUAAGUGUAUAUAAGGUUUAAGCACAGAGGGUUUUGUUUUUGUUUUUUUGGAGAGAUUUAGAAUUAGGGUGGAGAAGACAGUCUUGAGUUAGAAGAAACAGAGAGGAUAAAUCUGUGGGUUGGGCUAGUCUGAUGUGAGAGAGUGAGAGAAUUUUUUUUUAAGAGGAGUCAGUCAAACAGUUGAGAUAAUCAGUGAGAAGGUAUUAGGAAGGUAUAGAUACUGACAGGAAUAUUAUCUGAGAAACCAUAAACUUGUUAAUGUUUAUAAAAUAAACUUGUUUACAAUGGUACCUUGGGUUACAUUCGCUUCAGGUUACAUACGCUUCAGGUUACGCACUCUGCUAACCCAGAAAUAGUGCUUCAGGUUAAGAACUUUGCUUCAGGAUGAGAACAGAAAUCAUGCUCCUGCGGCGCAGCAGCAGCAGGAGGCCCCAUUAGCUAAAGGUUAAGAACAGUUUCAGGUUAAGUACAGACCUCCGGAAUGAAUUAAGUACUUAACCUGAGGUACCACUGUAUUUGGUUCACUUUUAACAACUGUCUGGACUCAGUGUUUUACCAGAGAGUAACAGGCUGGUGGCAGCGGGGAAGCGAGCACAGUGGUGGCACAGGGAUCAAUAGACCGUUAAACGUCCGGGGACCCUGUUUGAUCGCCACAGUAGGCCAUUGCCCCCAUUUGCCCUACUAAACAUGUCUCUGGUGGAAGAGAGAGAACUCAGUAUUUCUCAAAGGAGGGUCACUUAAUACAGGCAGCACAGAUGACCAGAAUCACUCCCCACCAGCCGCAAUCAGCUGGGUGUCUUUGGCUCGGAAUCAGUAAAAUAAAAAGUCAACUUCUAAAUUCUUAUUCCCACUGAUGAACCUAAAUUUGUUAGGGGCGGUGGUUGUUUCAUACAGAAUCCAUUCCAGUUUUUUAUUUGACCCCUAAAUGUCCCACUUUUCCUUAGGAUGUCUCUAUUUACAUCGAAGAAAUGUUAGAUGGUAUGGAGUUAUGCAACCCCUGAGCCUAGGAGAUAAGUAACUAUACAACCUUUAGAAGACCUCUGAAGGCAGCCCUGUAUUGCGCAGUUUUUUAUGUUUACUUUUUUGUGUUUUUAUAUAUGUUGGAAGCCACCCAGAGUGGCCAGAGUCAGAUGGGUGGGAUAACAACAACAACAACAAUAGAAUAGUAAAGGUAAAGGGGCCCCUGACCAUUAGGUCCAGUCGUGGCUGACUCUAGGGUUGCGGCACUCAUCUCGCUUUAUUGGCCAAGGGAGCCGGCAUACAGCUUCAGGGUCAUGUGGCCAGCAUGUUUAAGCCGAUUCUGGCAAACCAGAGCAGCGCACGGAAACGCCGUUUACCUUCCCACCGGAGCGGUACCUAUUUAUCUACUUGCACUUUGACGUGCUUUCGAACUGCUAGGUUGGCAGGAGCAGGGACCGAGCAACGGGAGCUCACCCCUUUGCGGGGAUUCAAACCGCCGACCUUCUGAUCGGCAAGUCCUAGGCUCUGUGGUUUAACCCACAGCGCCACCCACAUCCCUUUUAAUAAUAGAAUAAGACAUCCCUAUUUUCAUCAGAGAAAUGUUGGCGGGUAUGAGCUGGUUGCCUUUGGCUCGAAAGCAGUAAAAUAAAAUGUCAGCUUCUAAAUUU
This 2415-nucleotide long non-coding RNA is filed under the name Podarcis lilfordi (Lilford's wall lizard). Lineage: Eukaryota; Metazoa; Chordata; Lepidosauria; Squamata; Lacertidae. The record is from RNAcentral.